AUGUACUACAACUUGAACGGGAAACUCCCCCACAUCACCUAUGAGUACACUGUCCCCCUCAACAUCACGGCUGCAGAAGUAACCAGCACCGGCCCGGCCCACUCCCACCUUAACCUCACCUACAAUGAGCUAAAUGAGGAUGUCAGAGGGGAUCAGAGCAGCUCAAUAAAUCACAGCAGAGGUGCUGCACCUGUCCAUCACUACAACACCCCACUGGGAGAAGAGGUCCACCCAGACAUUCAGCUGCAGGAAGAAGAGGAGGUGGAGGUGGUGUGGGAGAUUCAGACACCAAGCCCACCACCGCUACAACCGCAGCCACAUCCAGUAGCUGUUCUGGUCUACAGGCCUGCUGAUGUCACUAGUCAUGUAUUCACCCACAAUGACGUAGAGGAGCAGGGACCUCCAGCACCAUCUGGAUACAGAAGUUCCUCUAACUCUAUUGAUGAGCCGUCUCCUGCUGAUGACAACACGCUGGUGCUUUCAUUCCCAGAAGACGCCCCCUACCUGCUGCUGGAGGACUUACAUUUCAACCACACACACUCUCUCACACAGUCUAACACACAUUCACAAGCAGAAGCAUCAGUGGGAACGCAGGCUACCACAGAUACUGAACUGAUAAUACAACCAGACACACACACUGUCGCACACACCCAGACAGAAACAGGCACCAACACUGCCAUCUUGGUGCAGAUGCAACAGGUGUCAGCGGUCCAGGCAGCCAACACAGAGAGGUAUGGUGGAGCAGAUGUAGAUCAUAAAAAUGUUAAAUACAGAUAAAUAUACAUUUUUGUAUAUAAUAGCUUAAAUCAUGAUCUUUCCUUUGUCUGAUCUU
Parambassis ranga (Indian glassy fish) is the source of this 832-nucleotide long non-coding RNA. The record is from Ensembl. Lineage: Eukaryota; Metazoa; Chordata; Actinopteri; Ambassidae.